Long non-coding RNA from Uranotaenia lowii, 1023 nucleotides. RefSeq lists it as uncharacterized. The record is from RefSeq and is a predicted model, not a curated record. The transcript is spliced from 5 exons. Lineage: Eukaryota; Metazoa; Arthropoda; Insecta; Diptera; Culicidae.
ACAAAUAAAAACUAAAACUCGAUUAUUCGAUUCUGUAUAAAAAGUUUGUUGUUGUUGGAAAGCUUCUGGACAGCGAUGUUAGAGCAAACAAGUUUUUAAAAUUCGCUACGUUUUUAUCAAUUCCGCAUCCGUUUUUAAGACAAAUCAUCAUAAAUGUCUUUCAAAAGGGAUUUGUUGCAUUCAGGUGAUCGAAUCACAUAAUCAGCAUUUAUCACCGGAAGAUCACCGGAUUGUUGCCUGAAAAAUGAUUUACAACAGCGGCACUGAUGUUUUACCGUUAAGCCUAUUCCGGAAAGUUGAACGAAUGCAUCGGGAGGUCCGAGGUUUACCUAAAAUUUGCGAACACCUAUUGCCAAAAUUUUUAUUGUCUUUUAAGAGCAAGACGGCAUAAUUUACUCUGAACAAAAUAAAUGCUCUUAAGGACGAGAGACUAUUCCUGUCGUUUUCCUUCUAAGCCUCUAUCGGACAGGAUGUGGUCCUCGUAAUUCAGCGGAUGAUAUUCCGCAAACAAAAACCUUUAUAUUUGUUCUUCGAAUAUUGUACCACAAGUACAUCACAAUGAGCAGGAACGUGACCGCUACCACCGAAGAACUCGUCAAAGGAUAUGAGGGAAAAUCGCUUCAAAAAUCUAACUAUGCGGAAGACAGUAAGAUGGAGCUUAAAACAAAAAGAUUCAUUUAUUCACCAUCAUAAUGGAACAGGUACACCCAUCCCAAAUCACUUCAGGGGGCCAGUCCAGAGUGAUGCCUGUAGAACCUGCUGAAUGCCAUUAGACUCCAUUAGACUCUGCCGGCUUGAGGGUGCUACUCCUGUUUAGCUAGCAGUCGUUCCGCCAUGAACAGCUCAUCGGAAAUGUACAAAAGAUACGCUACACACCCAGGUGGCUGGAUCGUAUGGAAGAAAAUUCGAACCGGAUGCUCCGCUACGUACGGCCCAAGUUGUCAUGAACAGCAGAAAUCGGCAUCCGAAAACAUGCAACUUGGUGACGGAAAACAUUUCACGAGACGCUUCCAUGCAAUAUCA